ACAGAAUAGACUCACAGAGAGUCACUCUCGCGCUCGCCUCUCUCGACUUAUCUCUCGACUUCGCAGCACCCCCGCGGCUCCGUCACCUCAACUUCGCAGCACCUCCGCGGCUCUGCCACCUCGACUCAGCUUCUCACCACCUCGCCUCUCUCGCUGUCGACUCAGUAGCACCUGAGCUUCUUCCUUCUGCUUCGUUCGGUUUCCAUUUGUGUUUUUCAUUGUUGAUUUCAUAUUCCGCUUGCAGUUCAAGGUGAAAUCAAAUACUGCAGCAAGGAUUACGUCUGCUCUCGGAAAUUCUUUUUGACCCUUCUGAUCAAGAUUUACAAUCAAGCUGCUGGUUGUAUUCUUGGUAUAUCAACUCUGAAAAAGGCUAUGUCGCAGAGUGGUUGUAUAGGUAAUUCAAGCUCAACACCAUCAUUUCCAUCUGUUGCAAAUGAGGAGAUGACUGCCGGUUUACAUGCUUCACCAUCAACAACGUCUCUGCCACCUCUGCCAGCAACACCAUCUUUUUAGCUUUUGUCCAAGGCUUUGAGGCAACAAGAAACACACCUAGUAACACCUCUGUUCAGACUGGUGUUUAGCAGUCUAGCACUCUCCCGGCCUCACAGCAUCAAUCUUUCCCUGCUAAUCUGGACUUUUGUGUUUUCAUUAGACAUGUGUUGUUUAAUUUUCUGUAUAAGACUUUGGACGUUGUUGGCUUGUUGCAUUUGAACUUUUGAAGUUUUG
Fragaria vesca subsp. vesca is the source of this 726-nucleotide RNA transcript. RefSeq lists it as uncharacterized. NCBI's taxonomy places the organism in Eukaryota, Viridiplantae, Streptophyta, Magnoliopsida, Rosales, Rosaceae. The transcript is spliced from 3 exons. The record is from RefSeq and is a predicted model, not a curated record.